Molecule: ribosomal RNA, 426 nt
Filed under: uncultured bacterium
Lineage: Bacteria
Description: partial 16S ribosomal RNA
Rfam family: Bacterial small subunit ribosomal RNA
Source: RNAcentral
GUGAGGAAUUUUCCGCAAUGGGCGAAAGCCUGACGGAGCAAUGCCGCGUGAAGGAUGAAGGCCUAUGGGUUGUAAACUUCUUUUCUCAGAAAAGAAUUAUGACGGUAUCUGAGGAAUAAGCAUCGGCUAACUCUGUGCCAGCAGCCGCGGUAAGACAGAGGAUGCAAGCGUUAUCCGGCAUGAUUGGGCGUAAAGCGUCUGUAGGUUGUUUAAAAAGUAUUCUGUCAAAGAUUAGGGCUUAACCCUAGAGAGGCAGAAUAAACUUUUAAGCUAGAGUGUGGUAGAGGCAGAGGGAAUUCCCGGUGGAGCGGUGAAAUGCGUAGAUAUCGGGAGGAACACCAAAGGCGAAGGCACUCUGCUGGGCCAAUACUAACACUGAGAGACGAAAGCGAGGGGAGCAAAUGGGAUUAGAAACCCCAGUAGUCC